This 301-nucleotide ribosomal RNA is filed under the name uncultured bacterium. Its description in RNAcentral is "partial 16S ribosomal RNA". It matches the Rfam family "Bacterial small subunit ribosomal RNA", at positions 509 to 807 of the family's 1533-position model. The record is from RNAcentral.
CAGUAGCCACGGUAGUACGGAGGGUGCAAGCGUUAACCGGAAUUACUGGGCGUAAAGCGCACGCAGGCGGUUUGUUAAGUCAGACGUGAAAUCCCCGAGCUUAACUUGGGAACUGCAUUUGAAACUGGCAAGCUAGAGUCUUGUAGAGGGGGGUAGAAUUCCAGGUGUAGCGGUGAAAUGCGUAGAGAUCUGGAGGAAUACCGGUGGCGAAGGCGGCCCCCUGGACAAAGACUGACGCUCAGGUGCGAAAGCGUGGGGAGCAAACAGGAUUAGAUACCCCGGUAGUCCCUGUCUCUUAUAC